GAUGAACGCUGGCGGCGUGCCUAAUACAUGCAAGUCGAGCGAACAGAUGAGGAGCUUGCUCCUCUGACGUUAGCGGCGGACGGGUGAGUAACACGUGGAUAACCUACCUAUAAGACUGGGAUAACUUCGGGAAACCGGAGCUAAUACCGGAUAAUAUAUUGAACCGCAUUGUUCAAUAGUGAAAGACGGUUUUGCUGUCACUUAUAGAUGGAUCCGCGCCGCAUUAGCUAGUUGGUAAGGUAACGGCUUACCAAGGCAACGAUGCGUAGCCGACCUGAGAGGGGGAUCGGCCACCCUGGAACUGAGACACGGUCCAGACUCCUACGGGAGGCAGCAGUAGGGAAUCUUCCGCAAUGGGCGAAAGCCUGACGGAGCAACGCCGCGUGAGUGAUGAAGGUCUUCGGAUCGUAAAACUCUGUUAUUAGGGAAGAACAAAUGUGUAAGUAACUAUGCACGUCUUGACGGUACCUAAUCAGAAAGCCACGGCUAACUACGUG
Molecule: ribosomal RNA, 497 nt
Filed under: uncultured bacterium
Lineage: Bacteria
Description: partial 16S ribosomal RNA
Rfam family: Bacterial small subunit ribosomal RNA
Source: RNAcentral